UACGUAUGGAGCAAGCGUUAUCCGGAUUUACUGGGUGUAAAGGGAGCGUAGGCGGUAAGGCAAGUCUGAUGUGAAAGGCCAGGGCUCAACCCUGGGACUGCAUUGGAAACUGUUUAACUGGAGUGUCGGAGAGGCAAGUGGAAUUCCUAGUGUAGCGGUGAAAUGCUUAGAUAUUGCGCAGAACUCCGAUUGCGAAGGCAGCAUACCGGCGGCGAUCUGACGCUGAGGCACGAAAGCGUGGGUAUCGAACAGG
Molecule: ribosomal RNA, 253 nt
Filed under: uncultured Lachnospiraceae bacterium
Lineage: Bacteria; Bacillati; Bacillota; Clostridia; Lachnospirales; Lachnospiraceae
Description: partial 16S ribosomal RNA
Rfam family: Bacterial small subunit ribosomal RNA
Source: RNAcentral